UGAUCGAUCCUAUCAUUGAAGACCUCGAUGACUAAGAGGUAGGGGCUGACCUACAAGACCCCCGAAGGCCGAACUUUGCUUUUCAGUGAGUCAACACCCUUGAAGAUCUUAGUUGUAUGAGAAGUGAGGAGAAACCUAAAAAUACCUCCGGAGGACUAACCUACAGGACCCUUGACUUACAAUAUGACAGCCUUUGAUCGAUCAGUCAAUUGAAGAUCCUACGACAGCC
This 229-nucleotide long non-coding RNA is filed under the name Elaeis guineensis (African oil palm). RNAcentral describes it as "long non-coding RNA (EGUI_LNC012912)". The record is from RNAcentral. Lineage: Eukaryota; Viridiplantae; Streptophyta; Magnoliopsida; Arecales; Arecaceae.